Mauremys reevesii (Reeves's turtle) is the source of this 189-nucleotide long non-coding RNA. RefSeq lists it as uncharacterized. NCBI's taxonomy places the organism in Eukaryota, Metazoa, Chordata, Testudines, Geoemydidae. The record is from RefSeq and is a predicted model, not a curated record. The transcript has 3 exons.
CAGCAAGCCAUGCUCGCCAUCAUGAAGCUGAGCAAAAUGAAGCUACCGGUGCGGAUCCUGACACAACCCAGCCUGCUCGCCACCUGCUUCUCCAGCAUCUUCUCCCUGCCUCCAGCACACACCAUGGAGGAGGUGGAGGCUGCUCUCUACACCAAAACUUUGAAAACCAUGGAUGAGAUGCUGAAGGCC